CUUAAGGGUCUGGCUAGGUGCUUGGUACAGUAAACAAUAAAUGAUCCUUCCCUGCAGGGCCCGGAAGCCUAGACCAAAAGCUGGGUAAUGUGAUCCGAGCUACGGUAGCCAUGUGCAGACUCUGAGGACAAACUGUACCCCCAGCUUUGCUUGGACUUCCCUUGCCUUCUGGCUGGUACACACCAGGUCACCGCAACCCAGAGGGGCCCGCAGCCCGCAGCACAGUAUGUACUUCGAUCUCCUCUCCCCUCUCUGCAGAGCCUGCAACACGAGCAUCCCUGACUACGUUCAGAGUGCUGAGGACUACAAGACUCUCCCCGUGGUGGUCCAAGCCGUUGGGAUCAUCUCAGAGGAGAAUUUCUUUUGCAUUUAUAAGCAAAUCUCCUUGGUGAGCCGGAUCAUCCCCUGCGGCUCCCAGUGGGCACUCUGUAUCUACUAUAGGCACCACUAUGUGCCCGAGAAUGGGUGGAGCGAACUCCAGACCAACCGCAAGGUCGUGGGCCUUGUCACCAUUGCGGACUGCCUCUUGGCAAAGGCCUUCGAUAAGCUCCACAUGCAGAGGAGCUGUAUGGCACCACGCUUAAUGACUCUCAGCUCUUUGUCUUUGUGCUGCAUGGGGAGGUAGCCGAGCAGACACGCACCGACGUAGCGUUCAAUCUACAAGGACUGCAGUGUGGUGAAGAGGAUCGAGGGCUUCACUGAGUCACUCUUCAUCUCGCUCAAGUCUAAGUGGCUAGAUGGGGCCCCCGACAACUCUGGGGACAAGAUCCCGCUCCUCUGCAUCCUCUUUGAGAAGGAGGACUUCAUGGGACUGGACACAGACUGAAGGGUCCUGUGAUCUACAUGUCCGCACUCACCUUCUGCUCCUUGGAGAUGAGGUGGCAGGUUUAGGAGCCUGGGCACUGCUGAAGGCACAGCUGCCAGCACCGGGCUUCUCCCAGACUGGCUCCGUUCACCUCACCUGUCACCUCCUGCUGAGCCCCCAGGCAUUAGUCCAGGUGGCCCCCAAGAGGUCGUGGUCUCAAAGGAGCAGGCAAACACCCAGUUGGUCUCCAUGCAGUGCUGAUGUAGAGGGAGCCCAGUCAAGACCUAAAGGACAUUAUCAGAGAGGACUUCCUGGAAGAAAUGGGCUCUAUAUUCAGUUGUGAGGACAUAGCAGGGAUGCUGCAGUACUCACUGAUACAUCACCGUUAUGUCCUGGAGCUGCUCCGGUCAGUGAAUGAUUUUCUGUGGCUUGGAGGUAAGGUGGUCUGAUGCAGAUGAUCAGAUGUGUAGUUAAAGUGCUAUUACUUGAAAUAAGAGAAACCAAGAAACAUGGCUCUAACAAUACAGGAUGAGGGAGGAGAACUGGCUGAUCUACUUGCAGUGGGGCGUCUUCUCAGGUGAUUCCCUCCCCGUGAUUCCUGCCAAUAUCCUCCCCA
Molecule: long non-coding RNA, 1421 nt
Organism: Camelus dromedarius (Arabian camel)
Lineage: Eukaryota; Metazoa; Chordata; Mammalia; Artiodactyla; Camelidae
Exons: 4
Source: RefSeq, a predicted model, not a curated record